UACGGAGGGGACUAGCGUUGUUCGGAAUUACUGGGCGUAAAGCGCACGUAGGCGGAUUUGUAAGUCAGGGGUGAAAUCCCGGGGCUCAACCUCGGAACUGCCUUUGAUACUGCAAAUCUCGAGUCCGGAAGAGGUGAGUGGAAUUCCUAGUGUAGAGGUGAAAUUCGUAGAUAUUAGGAAGAACACCAGUGGCGAAGGCGGCUCACUGGCCCGGAACUGACGCUCAUGAGCGAAAGCGUGGGGAGCGAACAGG
RNAcentral lists this ribosomal RNA (253 nucleotides) under uncultured bacterium. RNAcentral's name for it is "partial 16S ribosomal RNA". It matches the Rfam family "Bacterial small subunit ribosomal RNA", at positions 524 to 776 of the family's 1533-position model. The record is from RNAcentral.